CCAAAUCGGGCGGUAAUUCCGUCCAAGGCUAAAUAUUGGCGAGAGACCGAUAGCAAACAAGUACCGCGAGGGAAAGAUGAAAAGGACUUUGAGAAAAGAGUCAAAGAGUACUUGAAAUUGUCGGGAGGGAAGCGGAUGGGGGCCGGCGGUGCGUCCCGGUCGGAUGUGGAACGGUGCGUAACCGGUCUGCCAAUCGACUCGGGGCGUGGACCGACGCGGAUUGGGGCGGCGUCGCAAGCCCGGGCCUUUGUUGUGCUCGCGGAGACGUCGUCGCCUCGAUCGUGGCUGGCAGCGCGCGCCUACGGCGUGCUUCGGCAUCAGCGUGCUCCGGGCGUCGGCCUGCGGGCUCCCCAUUCGGCCCGUCUUGAAACACGGACCAAGGAGUCUGACAUGUGUGCGAGUCAACGGGCCAGAAAACCCGUUAGGCGCAAGGAAGCUGACUGGCGGGAUCCCCUGGAGGGUUGCACCGCCGACCGACCUUGAUCUUCUGAGAAGGGUUCGAGUGUGAGCAUGCCUGUCGGGACCCGAAAGAUGGUGAACUAUGCCUGAGCGG
RNAcentral lists this ribosomal RNA (553 nucleotides) under Begonia palmata. RNAcentral describes it as "eukaryotic LSU rRNA". It matches the Rfam family "Eukaryotic large subunit ribosomal RNA", at positions 287 to 844 of the family's 3401-position model. Lineage: Eukaryota; Viridiplantae; Streptophyta; Magnoliopsida; Cucurbitales; Begoniaceae. The record is from RNAcentral.